UACGGAGGGAGCUAGCGUUGUUCGGAAUUACUGGGCGUAAAGCGCACGUAGGCGGCUUUGUAAGUUAGAGGUGAAAGCCCGGGGCUCAACUCCGGAACUGCCUUUAAGACUGCAUCGCUUGAAUCCAGGAGAGGUGAGUGGAAUUCCGAGUGUAGAGGUGAAAUUCGUAGAUAUUCGGAAGAACACCAGUGGCGAAGGCGGCUCACUGGACUGGUAUUGACGCUGAGGCGCGAAAGCGUGGGGAGCAACAGG
Molecule: ribosomal RNA, 252 nt
Filed under: uncultured bacterium
Lineage: Bacteria
Description: partial 16S ribosomal RNA
Rfam family: Bacterial small subunit ribosomal RNA
Source: RNAcentral